Molecule: ribosomal RNA, 137 nt
Filed under: uncultured eukaryote
Lineage: Eukaryota
Description: partial 18S ribosomal RNA
Rfam family: Eukaryotic small subunit ribosomal RNA
Source: RNAcentral
UGGUGGAGUGAUUUGUCUGGUUAAUUCCGUUAACGAACGAGACCUUAGCCUACUAACUAGUCGAACUAAUUUCGAUUGGUCGCGACUUCUUAGAGGGACUUUGUGUUUCAAGCACAAGGAAGUUUGAGGCAAUAACA